RNAcentral lists this ribosomal RNA (833 nucleotides) under uncultured bacterium. Its description in RNAcentral is "bacterial SSU rRNA". It matches the Rfam family "Bacterial small subunit ribosomal RNA", at positions 28 to 857 of the family's 1533-position model. The record is from RNAcentral.
GAUGAACGCUAGCGGCAGGCUUAAUACAUGCAAGUCGAGGGGCAACAGGGGUAGCAAUACCUGCUGGCGACCGGCAAACGGGUGCGGAACACGUACAGAACCUUCCUUUGAGUGGGGGAUAGCCCGGAGAAAUCCGGAUUAAUACCCCAUAGUAUUAUUGUGUGGCAUCACAUAAUGAUUAAAGAUUUAUUGCUCAGAGAUGGCUGUGCGGCUGAUUAGGUAGUUGGUUGGGGUAACGGCCCACCAAGCCAUCGAUCAGUAACUGGUGUGAGAGCACGACCAGUCACACGGGCACUGAGACACGGGCCCGACUCCUACGGGAGGCAGCAGUAAGGAAUAUUGGUCAAUGGACGCAAGUCUGAACCAGCCAUGCCGCGUGAAGGAUGAAGGCCCUCUGGGUUGUAAACUUCUUUUAUCUGGGAAGAAAUGCAUCUUUUCUAAGGUGUUUGACGGUACCAGAGGAAUAAGCACCGGCUAACUCCGUGCCAGCAGCCGCGGUAAUACGGAGGGUGCAAGCGUUAUCCGGAUUCACUGGGUUUAAAGGGUGCGUAGGUGGGAAUGUAAGUCAGUGGUGAAAUCUCCGUGCUUAACACGGAAACUGCCAUUGAUACUAUGUUUCUUGAAUUUUCUGGAGGUCAGCGGAAUAUGUCAUGUAGCGGUGAAAUGCUUAGAUAUAACAUAGAACACCAAUUGCGAAGGCAGCUGGCUACAGGGAUAUUGACACUGAGGCACGAAAGCGUGGGGAUCAAACAGGAUUAGAUACCCUGGUAGUCCACGCCCUAAACGAUGGAUACUCGACAUUUGUGAUAGACAAUAAGUGUCUGAGCGAAAAG